This 741-nucleotide ribosomal RNA is filed under the name uncultured archaeon. RNAcentral describes it as "bacterial SSU rRNA". It matches the Rfam family "Archaeal small subunit ribosomal RNA", at positions 118 to 859 of the family's 1478-position model. The record is from RNAcentral.
GGACUGGGAUAACCUUGGGAAACUGAGGCUAAUACCGGAUAGGCAAUUUUUCCUGUAAUGGUUUUUUGUUUAAAUGUUUUUUCGCCUAAGGAUGGGUCUGCGGCCGAUUAGGUAGUUGGUUAGGUAAUGGCUUACCAAGCCGUUGAUCGGUACGGGUUGUGAGAGCAAGAGCCCGGAGAUGGAACCUGAGACAAGGUUCCAGGCCCUACGGGGUGCAGCAGGCGCGAAACCUCCGCAAUGUGAGAAAUCGCGACGGGGGGAUCCCAAGUGCCAUUCUUAACGGGAUGGCUUUUCAUUAGUGUAAAGAGCUUUUGGAAUAAGAGCUGGGCAAGACCGGUGCCAGCCGCCGCGGUAACACCGGCAGCUCUAGUGGUAGCAAUUUUUAUUGGGCCUAAAGCGUCCGUAGCCGGUUUAAUAAGUCUCUGGUGAAAUCCUGUAGCUUAACUGUGGGAAUUGCUGGAGAUACUAUUAGACUUGAGACCGGGAGAGGUUGGAGGUACUCCCAGGGUAGAGGUGAAAUUCUGUAAUCCUGGGAGGACCGCCUGUUGCGAAGGCGUCUAACUGGAACGGUUCUGACGGUGAGGGACGAAAGUUAGGGGCGCGAACCGGAUUAGAUACCCGGGUAGUCCUAACUGUAAACGAUGCGGACUUGGUGUUGGGGUGGCUUUGAGCUGCUCCAGUGCCGAAGGGAAGCUGUUAAGUCCGCCGCCUGGGAAGUACGGUCGCAAGACUGAAACUUAA